Molecule: ribosomal RNA, 251 nt
Filed under: uncultured bacterium
Lineage: Bacteria
Description: partial 16S ribosomal RNA
Rfam family: Bacterial small subunit ribosomal RNA
Source: RNAcentral
UACGAAGGGGGCUAGCGUUGCUCGGAAUUACUGGGCGUAAAGGGCGCGUAGGCGGACAGUUUAGUCAGAGGUGAAAGCCCAGGGCUCAACCUUGGAAUUGCCUUUGAUACUGACUGUCUUGAGUACGGGAGAGGUGAGUGGAACUCCGAGUGUAGAGGUGAAAUUCGUAGAUAUUCGGAAGAACACCAGUGGCGAAGGCGACUCACUGGCCCGUUACUGACGCUGAGGCGCGAAAGCGUGGGGAGCAAACA